GGCAGUGAGACUGCGGGGGAUAAGCUUCGUAGUCGAGAGGGAAACAGCCCAGAUCAUCAGCUAAGGCCCCUAAGCGUGCGCUAAGUGGGAAAGGAUGUGGAGUCGCGGUGACAACCAGGAGGUUGGCUUAGAAGCAGCCAUCCUUGAAAGAGUGCGUAAUAGCUCACUGGUCAAGUGGUUCUGCGCCGACAAUGUAGCGGGGCUCAAGCGUACCGCCGAAGCUGUGGCAACAACACGCAAUGCUGGCACCAGGAACUGGAUGUCGGUGUGUUGUUGGGUAGGGGAGCGUCCUGCACGAGGUGAAGCCUGGAGGGAACUUCUGGUGGAUUGUGUGGGAGUGAGAAUGCAGGCAUGAGUAACGAAUCUGCGGUGAGAAUCCGCAGCGCCGAUUGACUAAGGGUUCCAGGGCUAGGUUUAUCCGCCCUGGGUUAGUCGGGUCCUAAGGCGAGGCCGACAGGCGUAGUCGAUGGACAACCAGUUGAUAUUCUGGUACCGCGUUAUGACCGCCCAUGCUGAAGUCAUUGUGCUAACCAAUUUGCUCACGCCGCCUCUAAGCCUUCGGGUUUGAGAGUGUGUGUGGGUCUUGGGGCCCCGGUGAUUGUAGGCAAGCGUGUUAACAGGGGUGACGCAGACAGGUAGCUGCAGUGCGCCGAUGGUUGUGCGUAUUUAAGGUUGUGGCCCGCCUCCCAGGCAAAUCCGGGGGGCACUGUGGGUGAGAACUGAUGAGGGACACACGCGUGUGUGGACUUGUGGUGAUCCUAAGCUGCCGAGAAAAGCCUCGACGUGAGGGCAUGACGCGCCCGUACCCUAAACCGACUCAGGUGGUCAGGUAGAGUAUACCGAGGCGUUCGAGUGAAUCGUGGUUAAGGAACUCGGCAAAAUUCCUCCGUAACUUCGGGAUAAGGAGGACCCCGUGACUUCCCCGCGCCAUUGCGUGUGGGUGGGGUUGUGGGGUCGCAGAGAAUAGGGAGAAGCGACUGUUUAUCAAAAACACAGGUGCGUGCGAAGCCGUAAGGCGAUGUAUACGCACUGACGCCUGCCCGGUGCUGGAAGGUUAAGAGGAACCGUCAACACCCCCCGGGGUGUGAAGCGGUGAAUUUAAGCCCCAGUAAACGGCGGUGGUAACUAUAACCAUCCUAAGGUAGCGAAAUUCCUUGUCGGGUAAGUUCCGACCUGCACGAAUGGCGUAACGACUUCUCCGCUGUCUCAACCGCGAACUCGGUGAAAUUGCAGUACGAGUAAAGAUGCUCGUUUCGCGCAGAAGGACGGAAAGACCCCGGGACCUUUACUAUAGCUUGGUAUUGGUGUUCGCUUGGACUUGUGUAGGAUAGGUGGGAGACUGUGAAGCUGCCGCGCCAGCGGUGGUGGAGUCGUCGUUGAAAUACCAUUCUGGUUCAAGCGGUCACCUCAACCUUGGCCCGUGAUCCGGGUUGGGGACAGUGCCUGGUGGGUAGUUUAACUGGGGCGGUUGCCUCCUAAAAUGUAACGGAGGCGCUCAAAGGUUCCCUCAGCCUGGUUGGUAAUCAGGUGGCGAGUGCAAGUGUACAAGGGAGCUUGACUGUGAGACCGACGGGUCGAGCAGGUGCGAAAGCAGGAACUAGUGAUCCGGCCAUGGCACGUGGGUGCGUGGUCGCUCAACGGAUAAAAGGUACCCCGGGGAUAACAGGCUGAUCUUGCCCAAGAGUCCAUAUCGACGGCAUGGUUUGGCACCUCGAUGUCGGCUCGUCGCAUCCUGGGGCUGGAGUCGGUCCCAAGGGUUGGGCUGUUCGCCCAUUAAAGCGGUACGCGAGCUGGGUUCAGAACGUCGUGAGACAGUUCGGUCCCUAUCCUCUGUGCGCGCAGGAAAUUUGAGAAGGGCCGUCCCUAGUACGAGAGGACCGGGAUGGACGAACCUCUGGUGUGCCAGUUGUACCGCCAGGUGCAUGGCUGGUUGGCUACGUUCGGAAGGGAUAACCGCUGAAAGCAUCUAAGCGGGAAGCCUGCUUCAAGAUGAGAUUUCCACGCCCCCUCCGUGGGGUGAGAGGCCCCCGCCAGACUAGCGGGUCGAUAGGCCAGAGGUGGAAGCACAGCAAUGUGCUCGCGAGCCGACUGGUACUAAUGGGCCAACACUAAACAAC
RNAcentral lists this ribosomal RNA (2117 nucleotides) under human oral metagenome. RNAcentral describes it as "bacterial LSU rRNA". It matches the Rfam family "Bacterial large subunit ribosomal RNA", at positions 979 to 2925 of the family's 2925-position model. The record is from RNAcentral.